UACGUAGGGGGCAAGCGUUGUCCGGAAUCAUUGGGCGUAAAGAGCGUGUAGGCGGCCAGAUAGGUCGGUUGUGAAAACUGGAGGCUCAACCUCCAGACGUCGACCGAAACCCUCUGGCUAGAGUCCGGAAGAGGAGAAUGGAAUUCCUGGUGUAGCGGUGAAAUGCGCAGAUAUCAGGAAGAACACCCGUGGCGAAGGCGGUUCUCUGGGACGGUACUGACGCUGAGACGCGAAAGCGUGGGGAGCGAACAGG
This 253-nucleotide ribosomal RNA is filed under the name uncultured bacterium. RNAcentral's name for it is "partial 16S ribosomal RNA". It matches the Rfam family "Bacterial small subunit ribosomal RNA", at positions 524 to 776 of the family's 1533-position model. The record is from RNAcentral.